GUUCCCAAUGAUGCUUGAAACUUUCAAACCAUGCUAAUGCUGAUAAUCCAGUGAUUAUAUUUUGAUUUUUUUUUCUGAGGGAACU
This is a small nucleolar RNA of Hibiscus syriacus, 85 nucleotides long. RefSeq annotates it as small nucleolar RNA snoR53Y. The record is from RefSeq and is a predicted model, not a curated record. Lineage: Eukaryota; Viridiplantae; Streptophyta; Magnoliopsida; Malvales; Malvaceae. The transcript has a single exon.